GACGAACGCUGGCGGCGUGCUUAACACAUGCAAGUCGGACGGAAAGGCCCUGCUUGCAGGGUACUCGAGUGGCGAACGGGUGAGUAACACGUGGGUGAUCUGCCCUGCACUUCGGGAUAAGCCUGGGAAACUGGGUCUAAUACCGGAUAGGAGCCAUUUUUAGUGUGAUGGUUGGAAAGUUUUUUCGGUGUAGGAUGAGCUCGCGGCCUAUCAGCUUGUUGGUGGGGUAAUGGCCUACCAAGCCGGCGACGGGUAGCCGGCCUGAGAGGUUGGACGGCAACAUGGGACUUGGAUACGGCCCAGAACCCCUCCGGAGGCAGCAGUGGGGGAUAUUGCCCCAUGGGCGGAAGCCGUAUGCCGCGGCGCCCCGGGGGGGAUGACGGCCUUCGGGUUGUAAACUCCUUUCGCUAGGGACGAAGCUUUUUGUGACGGUACCUAGAUAAGAAGCACCGGCUAACUACGUG
Molecule: ribosomal RNA, 464 nt
Filed under: uncultured bacterium
Lineage: Bacteria
Description: partial 16S ribosomal RNA
Rfam family: Bacterial small subunit ribosomal RNA
Source: RNAcentral